Molecule: ribosomal RNA, 253 nt
Filed under: uncultured bacterium
Lineage: Bacteria
Description: partial 16S ribosomal RNA
Rfam family: Bacterial small subunit ribosomal RNA
Source: RNAcentral
UACGUAGGGUGCGAGCGUUGUCCGGAAUUAUUGGGCGUAAAGCGCGCGCAGGCGGUCUUUUAAGUCUGAUGUGAAAGCCCACGGCUCAACCGUGGAGGGUCAUUGGAAACUGGGAGACUUGAGUGCAGAAGAGAAGAGCGGAAUUCCACGUGUAGCGGUGAAAUGCGUAGAGAUGUGGAGGAACACCAGUGGCGAAGGCGGCUCUUUGGUCUGUAACUGACGCUGAGGCGCGAAAGCGUGGGGAGCGAACAGG